RNAcentral lists this ribosomal RNA (497 nucleotides) under uncultured bacterium. RNAcentral describes it as "partial 16S ribosomal RNA". It matches the Rfam family "Bacterial small subunit ribosomal RNA", at positions 28 to 507 of the family's 1533-position model. The record is from RNAcentral.
GAUGUACGCUGGCGGCGUGCCUAAUACAUGCAAGUCGAGCGAACAGACGAGGAGCUUGCUCCUCUGACGUUAGCGGCGGACGGGUGAGUAACACGUGGAUAACCUACCUAUAAGACUGGGAUAACUUCGGGAAACCGGAGCUAAUACCGGAUAAUAUAUUGAACCGCAUGGUUCAAUAGUGAAAGACGGUUUUGCUGUCACUUAUAGAUGGAUCCGCGCCGCAUUAGCUAGUUGGUAAGGUAACGGCUUACCAAGGCAACGAUGCGUAGCCGACCUGAGAGGGUGAUCGGCCACACUGGAACUGAGACACGGUCCAGACUCCUACGGGAGGCAGCAGUAGGGAAUCUUCCGCAAAGGGCGAAAGCUUGACGGAGCAACGCCGCGUGAGUGAUGAAGGUCUUCGGAUCGUAAAACUCUGUUAUUAGGGAAGAACAAAUGUGUAAGUAACUAUGCACGUCUUGACGGUACCUAAUCAGAAAGCCACGGCUAACUACGUG